GCAAGCUCGAUGCAGCCAUGCCGCGUGUGUGAAGAAGGCCUUCGGGUUGUAAAGCACUUUCAGUCAGGAGGAAAGGUUAGUAGUUAAUACCUGCUAGCUGUGACGUUACUGACAGAAGAAGCACCGGCUAACUCCGUGCCAGCAGCCGCGGUAAUACGGAGGGUGCGAGCGUUAAUCGGAAUUACUGGGCGUAAAGCGUACGCAGGCGGUUUGUUAAGCGAGAUGUGAAAGCCCCGGGCUCAACCUGGGAACUGCAUUUCGAACUGGCAAACUAGAGUGUGAUAGAGGGUGGUAGAAUUUCAGGUGUAGCGGUGAAAUGCGUAGAGAUCUGAAGGAAUACCGAUGGCGAAGGCAGCCACCUGAGUCAACACUGACGCUCAUGUACGAAAGCGUGGGGAGCAACAGGAUUAGAUACCCUGGUAGUCCACGCCGUAAACGAUGUCUACUAGAAGCUCGAGCCUCGAUCUGUUUUUCAAGCUAACGAAGUGAGUUGGCCGCCUGGGGAGUAUGGUGCAAGCCGCAAACUCAAAGUAU
RNAcentral lists this ribosomal RNA (534 nucleotides) under uncultured bacterium. RNAcentral describes it as "bacterial SSU rRNA". It matches the Rfam family "Bacterial small subunit ribosomal RNA", at positions 377 to 909 of the family's 1533-position model. The record is from RNAcentral.